This 542-nucleotide long non-coding RNA is filed under the name Phasianus colchicus (ring-necked pheasant). Its description in RNAcentral is "lncRNA (ENSPCLG00000017165.1)". The record is from RNAcentral. Lineage: Eukaryota; Metazoa; Chordata; Aves; Galliformes; Phasianidae.
AGCUCAGGGCUGUGGGUGCUGUGGGUGCUGUGGGGCAGGGCUGGGUCCAACCCCAAACUUACCAGCUCAGGAGGGAGCGGAGGGUGGCACGGCGCCGUCACCUGUGGGGCAGAGCACUCACUGCGGCUCCAGGGAGCAAACCUGGCCCCAUAGCGGGACCCCAGCCCCAUAGCACGACCCCAGACCCAUAGUGGGACCCCAGCCCCAUGAGCGGGACCCCAGCCCCAUGAGCGGGACCCCAACCCCAUCAGGGACCCCAACCCCAUAGCAGGACCCCAGACCCAUGAGCGGGAUCUGAGCCCCAUAGCAGGACCCCAGCCCCAUAAGUGAGACCCCAGCCCCAUGAGCGUGAUCCCAACACCAUAGCAGGACCCCAGCCCCAUAGUGGGACCCCAGCCCCAUAAGUGGGACCCCAGACCCAUGAGCGCGAUCCCAGACCCAUGAGCGCGAUCCCAGACCCAUGAGCGCGAUCCCAGCCCCAUCAGCGAUCCCAGCCCCAUAGCAGGACCCCAGCCCCAUAAGUGAGACCCCAGCCCCCUGAG